This 293-nucleotide ribosomal RNA is filed under the name uncultured bacterium. Its description in RNAcentral is "partial 16S ribosomal RNA". The record is from RNAcentral.
GGACUACCGGGGUAUCUAAUCCUGUUCGCUCCCCAUGCUUUCGCUCCUCAGCGUCAGUAGCGGCCCAGAGACCCGCCUUCGCCACCGGUGUUCCUCCUGAUAUCUGCGCAUUCCACCGCUACACCAGAGAAUUCCAGUCUCCCCUACCGCACUCUAGCCUGCCCGUACCGAAAGCAAUCCCAAGGUUAAGCCUUGGAAUUUCACUCCCGACGCGACAGGCCGCCUACGAGCCCUUUACGCCCAAUAAAUCCGGACAACGCUUGCACCCUACGUAUUACCGCGGCUGCUGGCAC